GAUGAACGCUGGCGGCGUGCCUAAUACAUGCAAGUCGAGCGAACGGACGAGAAGCUGGCGUCUCUGAUGUUAGCGGCGGACGGGUGAGGAACACGUGGAUAACCUACCUAUAAGACUGGGAUAACUUCGGGAAACCGUAGCUAAUACCGGAUAAUAUUUUGAACCGCAUGGUUCAAAAGUGAAAGACGGUCUUGCUGUCACUAAUAGAUGGAUCCGCGCUGCAUUAGCUAGUGGGUAAGGUAACGGCUUACCAAGGCAACGAUGCAUAGCCGACCUCAGAGCGACGUCGGCCACCCUGGCACUGAGACACGGUCCCGACUCCUACGCGAGGCAGCAGUCGGGACUCUUCCGCAAUGGGCCAGAGCCUGACGUAGCACCGCCGCGUAAGUGAUGAAGCUCUUCGGAUCGUAAAGCUCUGUUAUUCGGGAAGAACAUAUGUGUAAGUACCUGUGAACAUAUUGACGGUACCUAAUCAGAAAGCCACGGCUAACUACGUG
This 497-nucleotide ribosomal RNA is filed under the name uncultured bacterium. Its description in RNAcentral is "partial 16S ribosomal RNA". It matches the Rfam family "Bacterial small subunit ribosomal RNA", at positions 28 to 507 of the family's 1533-position model. The record is from RNAcentral.